Molecule: ribosomal RNA, 492 nt
Filed under: uncultured bacterium
Lineage: Bacteria
Description: partial 16S ribosomal RNA
Rfam family: Bacterial small subunit ribosomal RNA
Source: RNAcentral
AGUGAACGCUGGCGGUAGGCCUAACACAUGCAAGUCGAACGGCAGCACAGUAAGAGCUUGCUCUUACGGGUGGCGAGUGGCGGGGGGGUGAGGAACACAUGGAAAUCCUCUUUUUCGGGGGGGAACGCGGAGGAACAUAUACUAUUAUCGCACAUGACAUCCGCGUGUGAGCGCAGGGGCUCUUCACAUCUCGCGCGAGAGUGUGAGGAGAUGUCGGAUUCGCUAGUGGGCGGGGUAAAGGCCCACCAAGGCGACGAUCUGUAGCUGGUGUGAGAGGAUGAUCAGCCACACUGGAACUGAGACACGGUCCAGACUCCUACGGGAGGCAGCAGUGGGGAAUAUUGGACAAUGGGCGCAAGCCUGAUCCAGCCAUACCGCGUGGGUGAAGAAGGCCUUCGGGUUGUAAAGCCCUUUUGUUGGGAAAGAAAAGCAGCAGGUUAAUACCCCGCUGUUCUGACGGUACCCAAAGAAUAAGCACCGGCUAACUUCGUG